GAGAUGGGGUUUCACUAUGUUGACCAGGCUGGUCUGGAACUCUUGACCUCAUGAACCACCUGCCUUGGCCAAAGAUUCAAGUCAGUGCAAUAAAAAAAGUACAUUUCUGAUCACAUCUCCAUUUCUUCAACAUUUACGUAUUUAUAUUUCCAAGAUAUUCCAUACAGCAUGAAUCCAUGAAGAAUUAGGCUUCGACUAAGAUUCUUUCUACAUUGAUCUCGAGUUUAGCAAAGGGAGCCUAUGAAUGAGCUGCCUUCCCUGAUGUCAGCACUGAAACUCGAGAAACAAGUUUCUCUGAAAUCUCUGGAUCAUCUUACAUUCUGGCGAGUUCUACCUUCUGUUAAUGAAGGUAGUCGUCUCUUUCCAACUAGAUGAUUUGCUUUAGCCCCAACAUGCAAAGGGAGAAUUUGAGCAAAAAGACUUCAAGGCAUCUUGCAGAGGUGGUAGGCCUCUAUAUAAGACUUUAAACUCCUACAGAUGUGGAUUUGGAUCAGCAUGAUCUAAUUAUUCCAGCUAUUGACUCCUCAUCAAUCUACAUGGUGGCCAUAC
This 549-nucleotide long non-coding RNA is filed under the name Pan troglodytes (chimpanzee). Its description in RNAcentral is "long non-coding RNA NONPTRT009266". Lineage: Eukaryota; Metazoa; Chordata; Mammalia; Primates; Hominidae. The record is from RNAcentral.